RNAcentral lists this ribosomal RNA (253 nucleotides) under uncultured bacterium. RNAcentral's name for it is "partial 16S ribosomal RNA". It matches the Rfam family "Bacterial small subunit ribosomal RNA", at positions 524 to 776 of the family's 1533-position model. The record is from RNAcentral.
UACAGAGGGGGCAAGCGUUAUUCGGAAUUAUUGGGCGUAAAGGGCGCGUAGGCGGCCUGACAAGUGGAAGGUGAAAUCCCUCGGCUUAACCGAGGAACUGCCCUCCAAACUGUUUGGCUUGAGUCCGGGAGAGGUGAGUGGAAUUCCCAGUGUAGCGGUGAAAUGCGUAGAUAUUGGGAGGAACACCAGUGGCGAAGGCGGCUCACUGGACCGGAACUGACGCUGAUGCGCGAAAGCUAGGGGAGCGAACAGG